Molecule: ribosomal RNA, 416 nt
Filed under: uncultured bacterium
Lineage: Bacteria
Description: bacterial SSU rRNA
Rfam family: Bacterial small subunit ribosomal RNA
Source: RNAcentral
ACGCGAAGAACCUUACCUACUCUUGACAUCCAGAGAACUUUCCAGAGAUGGAUUGGUGCCUUCGGGAACUCUGAGACAGGUGCUGCAUGGCUGUCGUCAGCUCGUGUUGUGAAAUGUUGGGUUAAGUCCCGCAACGAGCGCAACCCUUAUCCUUUGUUGCCAGCGGUUAGGCCGGGAACUCAAAGGAGACUGCCAGUGAUAAACUGGAGGAAGGUGGGGAUGACGUCAAGUCAUCAUGGCCCUUACGAGUAGGGCUACACACGUGCUACAAUGGCGCAUACAAAGAGAAGCGACCUCGCGAGAGCAAGCGGACCUCAUAAAGUGCGUCGUAGUCCGGAUUGGAGUCUGCAACUCGACUCCAUGAAGUCGGAAUCGCUAGUAAUCGUGGAUCAGAAUGCCACGGUGAAUACGUUCCC